Molecule: transfer RNA, 77 nt
Filed under: Agromyces sp. Leaf222
Lineage: Bacteria; Bacillati; Actinomycetota; Actinomycetes; Micrococcales; Microbacteriaceae
Description: tRNA-Met
Rfam family: tRNA
About the family: Transfer RNA (tRNA) molecules are approximately 80 nucleotides in length. Their secondary structure includes four short double-helical elements and three loops (D, anti-codon, and T loops).
Source: RNAcentral
CGCGGUGUACCCAAGCGGCCCAAGGGAGCGGACUCAUAACCCGCUAUUCGCAGGUUCGAAUCCUGCCAUCGCGUCGA